This 460-nucleotide ribosomal RNA is filed under the name uncultured bacterium. RNAcentral describes it as "partial 16S ribosomal RNA". It matches the Rfam family "Bacterial small subunit ribosomal RNA", at positions 338 to 795 of the family's 1533-position model. The record is from RNAcentral.
CCUACGGGAGGCAGCAGUGAGGAAUAUUGGUCAAUGGGCGCGAGCCUGAACCAGCCAAGUAGCGUGAAGGAUGACUGCCCUACGGGUUGUAAACUUGUUUUAUAAAGGAAUAAAGUGAGGCAAGUGUGCCUUUUUGUAUGUACUUUAUGAAUAAGGAUCGGCUAACUCCGUGCCAGCAGCCGCGGUAAUACGGAGGAUCCGAGCGUUAUUCGGAUUUAUUGGGUUUAAAGGGAGCGUAGAUGGGUUGUUAAGUCAGUUGUGAAAGUUUGCGGCUCAACCGUAAAAUGGCAAUUGAUACUGGCAGCCUUGAGUACAGUUGAGGGAGGCGGAAUUCGUGGUGUAGCGGUGAAAUGCUUAGAUAUCGCGAGGAACUCCGAUGGCGAAGGCAGCUUACUAAACUGCCACUGACAUUGAUGCUCGAAAGUGAGGGUAUCAAACAGGAUUAGAUACCCGGGUAGUC